This is a long non-coding RNA of Dermacentor albipictus, 429 nucleotides long. RefSeq lists it as uncharacterized. The record is from RefSeq and is a predicted model, not a curated record. Lineage: Eukaryota; Metazoa; Arthropoda; Arachnida; Ixodida; Ixodidae.
CAUCGCUUCAAGUAUGCCUUCCUCACGAAUGCCAUUGUUGCAGAUUGCCACGACAUGGGCCUAUUGCUACAUCGUCUUCGGAGCCAACCAACAAGGCGAAACUGGACCGCUCCCAACCUGUGAUCUGGCUGCGCACGCAAGGCCUAAUAUGGAUCGUGCUCGACUACUCGUCUGGCAACCUGGAACUGAUACUACAGUCGUCACAGCCAACGGUGGAUUUAAAAGCCAGCCAGCCAUCGUCCACUUCGGGCACGGCAUCGCUUCAAGUAUGCCUUCCUCACGAAUGCCAUUGUUGCAGGUGUGACUCAUCAGAGGGAACUCUCUAAACAGUCUGCAAAAGAUGACACUGGAGAGGAGGCAGUUGGCGUCCGCUCUUGAAAAAGGGAUUGCAAGGAGUCACUCUGGUUCUUCGAGCGCUUUCUUCGCUUC